This 253-nucleotide ribosomal RNA is filed under the name uncultured bacterium. Its description in RNAcentral is "partial 16S ribosomal RNA". It matches the Rfam family "Bacterial small subunit ribosomal RNA", at positions 524 to 776 of the family's 1533-position model. The record is from RNAcentral.
UACAGAGGUCCCGAGCGUUGUUCGGAUUCACUGGGUGUAAAGGGUGCGUAGGCGGUGCGUUAAGUCUGAUGUGAAAGCCCUGGGCUCAACUCAGGAAUUGCAUUGGAAACUGGCGUGCUGGAGUACGGGAGAGGGAAGCGGAAUUCCUGGUGUAGCGGUGAAAUGCGUAGAUACCAGGAGGAACACCGGUGGCGAAGGCGGUUUCCUGGCCCAGUACUGACGCUGAGGCACGAAAGCGUGGGGAGCGAACGGG